UACGUAGGGCGCAAGCGUUAUCCGGAAUUAUUGGGCGUAAAGAGCUCGUAGGCGGUCUGUUGCGUCCGCUGUGAAAACUCGGGGCUUAACCCCGAGCCUGCAGUGGAUACGGGCAGACUAGAGGUAGGUAGGGGAGAAUGGAAUUCCCGGUGUAGCGGUGAAAUGCGCAGAUAUCGGGAGGAACACCGGUGGCGAAGGCGGUUCACUGGACCGGAACUGACGCUGAGGCGCGAAAGCGUGGGGAGCAAACGGG
Molecule: ribosomal RNA, 253 nt
Filed under: uncultured bacterium
Lineage: Bacteria
Description: partial 16S ribosomal RNA
Rfam family: Bacterial small subunit ribosomal RNA
Source: RNAcentral